RNAcentral lists this unclassified non-coding RNA (272 nucleotides) under Hevea brasiliensis (rubber tree). The record is from RNAcentral. Lineage: Eukaryota; Viridiplantae; Streptophyta; Magnoliopsida; Malpighiales; Euphorbiaceae.
AACGAGAACGUGCAAAACUACUUUGCCGAGAUCGAGCAGGUCGCUUUCAACCCGGCCCACAUGGUUCCUGGUAUUGAGCCUUCUGCCGACCCUGUUCUUCAGUCUCGUCUCUUCUCCUACCCCGAUGCCCACCGUCACCGCAUCGGUGCCAACUACCAGCAGCUCCCCACCAACUCUACCCGCACACCUUAUCGCGUCGCCAACUUCCAGCGCGAUGGCAACAUGGCUUUCCUCAACCAAGGCUCUCGUCCAGCCUACUUGAGCUCGAUCGA